This is a transfer RNA of Loxodonta africana (African savanna elephant), 71 nucleotides long. It matches the Rfam family "tRNA". Rfam says of the family: Transfer RNA (tRNA) molecules are approximately 80 nucleotides in length. Their secondary structure includes four short double-helical elements and three loops (D, anti-codon, and T loops). Further hydrogen bonds mediate the characteristic L-shaped molecular structure. tRNAs have two regions of fundamental functional importance: the anti-codon, which is responsible for specific mRNA codon recognition, and the 3' end, to which the tRNAs corresponding amino acid is attached (by aminoacyl-tRNA synthetases). tRNAs cope with the degeneracy of the genetic code in two manners: having more than one tRNA (with a specific anti-codon) for a particular amino acid; and 'wobble' base-pairing, i.e. permitting non-standard base-pairing at the 3rd anti-codon position. The record is from Rfam. NCBI's taxonomy places the organism in Eukaryota, Metazoa, Chordata, Mammalia, Proboscidea, Elephantidae.
GCAUUGGUGGCUCAGUGGUAGAACUCCUACCUUGCACGCAGGAGACUUGGGUUUGAAUCCCAGCCAAUACA